UACGUAGGGGGCAAGCGUUAUCCGAAUUUACUGGGUGUAAAGGGAGCGUAGACGGCCAGACAAGUCUGAAGUGAAAAUCCAGCGCUUAACGUUGGAAGUGCUUUGGAAACUGCCGGGCUAGAGUGCAGGAGGGGCAGGCGGAAUUCCUAGUGUAGCGGUGAAAUGCGUAGAUAUUAGGAGGAACACCAGUGGCGAAGGCGGCUUGCUGGACGAUGACUGACGUUGAGGCUCGAAAGCGUGGGGAGCAAACAGG
This 253-nucleotide ribosomal RNA is filed under the name uncultured bacterium. RNAcentral's name for it is "partial 16S ribosomal RNA". It matches the Rfam family "Bacterial small subunit ribosomal RNA", at positions 524 to 776 of the family's 1533-position model. The record is from RNAcentral.